GGUUAAGUUAGAAAGGGCGCACGGUGGAUGCCUUGACACUAGGAGUCGAUGAAGGACGGGACUAACGCCGAUAUGCUUCGGGGAGCUGUAAGUAAGCUUUGAUCCGAAGAUUUCCGAAUGGGGAAACCCACCAUACGUAAUGGUAUGGUAUCCUUAUCUGAAUACAUAGGGUAAGGAAGACAGACCCAGGGAACUGAAACAUCUAAGUACCUGGAGGAAGAGAAAGCAAAUGCGAUUUCCUGAGUAGCGGCGAGCGAAACGGAACAUAGCCCAAACCAAGAGGCUUGCCUCUUGGGGUUGUAGGACAUUCUAUACGGAGUUACAAAGGAACGAGGUAGACGAAGCGACCUGGAAAGGUCCGUCGUAGAGGGUAACAACCCCGUAGUCGAAACUUCGUUCUCUCUUGAAUGUAUCCUGAGUACGGCGGAACACGUGAAAUUCCGUCGGAAUCUGGGAGGACCAUCUCCCAAGGCUAAAUACUCCCUAGUGAUCGAUAGUGAACCAGUACCGUGAGGGAAAGGUGAAAAGCACCCCGGAAGGGGAGUGAAAGAGAUCCUGAAACCGUGUGCCUACAAAUAGUCAGAGCCCGUUAACGGGUGAUGGCGUGCCUUUUGUAGAAUGAACCGGCGAGUUACGAUCCCGUGCGAGGUUAAGCUGAAGAGGCGGAGCCGCAGCGAAAGCGAGUCUGAAUAGGGCGUUUAGUACGUGGUCGUAGACCCGAAACCAGGUGAUCUACCCAUGUCCAGGGUGAAGUUCAGGUAACACUGAAUGGAGGCCCGAACCCACGCACGUUGAAAAGUGCGGGGAUGAGGUGUGGGUAGCGGAGAAAUUCCAAUCGAACCUGGAGAUAGCUGGUUCUCCCCGAAAUAGCUUUAGGGCUAGCCUUAAGUGUAAGAGUCUUGGAGGUAGAGCACUGAUUGGACUAGGGGUCCUCAUCGGAUUACCGAAUUCAGUCAAACUCCGAAUGCCAAUGACUUAUCCUUAGGAGUCAGACUGCGAGUGAUAAGAUCCGUAGUCAAAAGGGAAACAGCCCAGACCGCCAGCUAAGGUCCCAAAGUGUGUAUUAAGUGGAAAAGGAUGUGGAGUUGCUUAGACAACUAGGAUGUUGGCUUAGAAGCAGCCACCAUUUAAAGAGUGCGUAAUAGCUCACUAGUCGAGUGACUCUGCGCCGAAAAUGUACCGGGGCUAAAUACACCACCGAAGCUGCGGAUUGAUACCGAAUGGUAUCAGUGGUAGGGGAGCGUUCUAAGGACAGUGAAGUCAGACCGGAAGGACUGGUGGAGUGCUUAGAAGUGAGAAUGCCGGUAUGAGUAGCGAAAGACGGGUGAGAAUCCCGUCCACCGAAUGCCUAAGGUUUCCUGAGGAAGGCUCGUCCGCUCAGGGUUAGUCAGGACCUAAGCCGAGGCCGACAGGCGUAGGCGAUGGACAACAGGUUGAUAUUCCUGUACCACCUCUUUAUCGUUUGAGCAAUGGAGGGACGCAGAAGGAUAGAAGAAGCGUGCGAUUGGUUGUGCACGUCCAAGCAGUUAGGCUGAUAAGUAGGCAAAUCCGCUUAUCGUGAAGGCUGAGCUGUGAUGGGGAAGCUCCUUAUGGAGCGAAGUCUUUGAUUCCCCGCUGCCAAGAAAAGCUUCUAGCGAGAUAAAAGGUGCCUGUACCGCAAACCGACACAGGUAGGCGAGGAGAGAAUCCUAAGGUGUGCGAGAGAACUCUGGUUAAGGAACUCGGCAAAAUGACCCCGUAACUUCGGGAGAAGGGGUGCUUUCUUAACGGAAAGCCGCAGUGAAUAGGCCCAAGCGACUGUUUAGCAAAAACACAGCUCUCUGCGAAGCCGUAAGGCGAAGUAUAGGGGGUGACACCUGCCCGGUGCUGGAAGGUUAAGGAGAGGGGUUAGCGUAAGCGAAGCUCUGAACUGAAGCCCCAGUAAACGGCGGCCGUAACUAUAACGGUCCUAAGGUAGCGAAAUUCCUUGUCGGGUAAGUUCCGACCCGCACGAAAGGUGUAACGAUUUGGGCACUGUCUCAACCAGAGACUCGGUGAAAUUAUAGUACCUGUGAAGAUGCAGGUUACCCGCGACAGGACGGAAAGACCCCGUGGAGCUUUACUGUAGCCUGAUAUUGAAUUUUGGUACAGUUUGUACAGGAUAGGCGGGAGCCUUUGAAACCGGAGCGCUAGCUUCGGUGGAGGCGCCGGUGGGAUACCGCCCUGACUGUAUUGAAAUUCUAACCUACGGGUCUUAUCGACCCGGGAGACAGUGUCAGGUGGGCAGUUUGACUGGGGCGGUCGCCUCCUAAAGUGUAACGGAGGCGCCCAAAGGUUCCCUCAGAAUGGUUGGAAAUCAUUCGUAGAGUGCAAAGGCAUAAGGGAGCUUGACUGCGAGACCUACAAGUCGAGCAGGGACGAAAGUCGGGCUUAGUGAUCCGGUGGUUCCGCAUGGAAGGGCCAUCGCUCAACGGAUAAAAGCUACCCCGGGGAUAACAGGCUUAUCUCCCCCAAGAGUCCACAUCGACGGGGAGGUUUGGCACCUCGAUGUCGGCUCAUCGCAUCCUGGGGCUGUAGUCGGUCCCAAGGGUUGGGCUGUUCGCCCAUUAAAGCGGUACGCGAGCUGGGUUCAGAACGUCGUGAGACAGUUCGGUCCCUAUCCGUCGUGGGCGUAGGAAAUUUGAGAGGAGCUGUCCUUAGUACGAGAGGACCGGGAUGGACGCACCGCUGGUGUACCAGUUGUUCUGCCAAGGGCAUAGCCGGGUAGCUAUGUGCGGAAGGGAUAAGUGCUGAAAGCAUCUAAGCAUGAAGCCCCCUCAAGAUGAGAUUUCCCAUAGCGUAAGCUAGUAAGAUCCCUGAAAGAUGAUCAGGUUGAUAGGUUCGAGGUGGAAGCAUGGUGACAUGUGGAGCUGACGAAUACUAAUAGAUCGAGGACUUAACCAU
RNAcentral lists this ribosomal RNA (2922 nucleotides) under Bacillus paranthracis. RNAcentral's name for it is "23S ribosomal RNA". It matches the Rfam family "Bacterial large subunit ribosomal RNA". The record is from RNAcentral. Lineage: Bacteria; Bacillati; Bacillota; Bacilli; Caryophanales; Bacillaceae.